CAGUCGCCGCGGGAAUACGGAGGGUGCAAGCGUUAAUCGGAAUUACUGGGCGUAAAGCGCGCGUAGGUGGUUUGGUAAGAUGGAUGUGAAAUCCCCGGGCUCAACCUGGGAACUGCAUCCAUAACUGCCUGACUAGAGUACGGUAGAGGGUGGUGGAAUUUCCUGUGUAGCGGUGAAAUGCGUAGAUAUAGGAAGGAACACCAGUGGCGAAGGCGACCACCUGGACUGAUACUGACACUGAGGUGCGAAAGCGUGGGGAGCAAACAGGAUUAGAUACCCCAGUAGUCCCUGUCUCUUAUAC
Molecule: ribosomal RNA, 301 nt
Filed under: uncultured bacterium
Lineage: Bacteria
Description: partial 16S ribosomal RNA
Rfam family: Bacterial small subunit ribosomal RNA
Source: RNAcentral